GACGAACGCUGGCGGCGUGCUUAACACAUGCAAGUCGAGCGGAAAGGCGCUUCGGGGUACUCGAGCGGCGAACGGGUGAGUAACACGUUAGUAACCUGCUCCCGACUUUGGGAUAACCCUCGGAAACGGGGGCUAAUACCGGAAACGACACAGCUUCGCAUGGGGUCUGGGUGGAAAGUUUUUCGGUUUUGGAUGGGCUCGCGGCUAAUCAUCUUGUUGUUGGGGUGAUGGCCGACGAAGGCGACGACGGAUAGGCGGCCUGAGAGCGCGACCGGCCACACUAGGACUGAGAGACGGACCAGACUCGUACGUGAGGCAGUGGUGGGAAGUAUUGCACAAUGGCGCGACGCGUGAUGUGGCGGCCCUGCGAGCGGGAUGACGGCCUACGGGUUGUAAACCUCUUUCAGCGGGGACGAAGCGGUAGUGACGGUACCUACAGAAGAAGCGCCGGCCAACUACGUG
Molecule: ribosomal RNA, 462 nt
Filed under: uncultured bacterium
Lineage: Bacteria
Description: partial 16S ribosomal RNA
Rfam family: Bacterial small subunit ribosomal RNA
Source: RNAcentral